Molecule: non-coding RNA, 25 nt
Filed under: Drosophila erecta
Lineage: Eukaryota; Metazoa; Arthropoda; Insecta; Diptera; Drosophilidae
Also listed under: 1 other name
Source: RNAcentral
UGUAAACGGUAGCUAAUUCGAGCGG